Molecule: ribosomal RNA, 327 nt
Filed under: uncultured eukaryote
Lineage: Eukaryota
Description: partial 18S ribosomal RNA
Rfam family: Eukaryotic small subunit ribosomal RNA
Source: RNAcentral
CCCUUAGAUGUUCUGGGCCGCACGCGCGCUACACUGACGAAUGCAACGAGCUUAUAACCUUGGCCGAAAGGUCUGGGUAAUCUCCAAAUUUCGUCGUGAUGGGGAUAGAUUAUUGCAAUUAUUAAUCUUCAACGAGGAAUGCCUAGUAAGCGCAAGUCAUCAGCUUGCGUUGAUUACGUCCCUGCCCUUUGUACACACCGCCCGUCGCUCCUACCGAUUGAAUGGUCCGGUGAAGCGCUCGGACCGCGGCCUCUUGACGGUUCGCUGUCGAUUGGCUGUGGGAAGUUCGUUAAACCUUAUCAUUUAGAGGAAGGAGAAGCCGUAACA